This 1878-nucleotide long non-coding RNA is filed under the name Homo sapiens (human). RNAcentral describes it as "HSALNT0290276". The record is from RNAcentral. Lineage: Eukaryota; Metazoa; Chordata; Mammalia; Primates; Hominidae.
GCCAGCAUGCUGCACAGACUUCAGCAGCCCACCUCUGGCUCACUCGCUCACUUGCUGGCAGGCUGGCUCAUCCUCCAGGGGCAAGAGAAGGAGAGAGGAAAGGAAAUGGAAAAGUCUCUGAUGUGUCAGGGAGCCUGCCGGCCGCUGGUGAGCAUCACGGAGUCCUAAAGCCCCACCUGCCAAAUCAGCAGCCCAGUUCUCUGCCCGUGCUUGUAAUUAGUCUGUCUGAGCAUUUAGGGCAGCCCUGGGGAACAGAAAGGGUGGGCAGGAGGAGCUGGCGUAGGAGCACCUGAGGCUGGGGCUGCAGAGCAAAGCAGAGGGGAGCCACCUGAGAGGACCCCUGUCCAGGGGGAAGGGAGCAGCAGGGACCCAUGCCCUGACAUCCUGUCUGGAGACAUGGCCUUCGGAGAGCCUGGCGGCACUAGCUGAACUGCCCACUGGCCUCUGACACCACAGCACUAGUCAGGACCUGGUUCCAGCCAGCCUGGACCAUUUACUAGCUGUGGGACUGAAACUCGGGGAGGCAGAGGCAAGGGAUCAAUUUCCUCAUCUGUAAAAUGGGAAUAAGCAACAUCUGCCAAGGCCAUCGAUGUGGACAUCGUCCUGAAAUGGACAGCCUUCCCUGCCUCUGAGAUGGCUCCGUGAAAUAGAAGCUGUGGACGUCGUCCUGAAAUGAACAGCCUUCCCUGCCCUUCGAGCAGAGCUGCCGUGGGUCUUUGAAGCAGACAGUGAGCCUCAAAAGUGGAUCGUUUUAAUACCUCCCUUCUGAAGAGGAAAGUCUGUGCUGCGCCUUCUUCCUCCCUCUGUGUGCUCGUCCUGCCCCUGCCAGCAGCCCCAUCCACGUUCAGGGAGGCAGGGAGGAAGGGAGUCCAGGCUGGCCAAAGGCCUUGGGGCCAGCAGACACUUCCAGAAAAGACCAUAUGGAAGAGUUGUGAAGAUGGACAGUGGUGACAGCUACACAACAAUGUGAAGGUUUUCACACGCACUGCAGAGUUUCCAGAGAUAAAGCCCCACAACCAGAGAUGGCAAAGCACCUCCUUUCUCUGCCUCCAGAGAGGAGAAUUCAGCCGAGCAGGAAACUACGGAGUCUCUGAUUGGCUUCUGAGAGCUGGAGCAGUUUGUGAGUGUCAGGGACCCAGGAACCUCAGCCCCAGGCUGUCAUUCCCUUCGGCUUCUGGCUCAGUCCUGCUGCAUCUUAUAAGGCCCCUGGGUGAACUAGGGGCUGGGAGGUGGUGCGUUACCCCUAGAGCAGCUGGGCCCACAGGCUCACCAGGCUGAGGGAGUGUGGCCUCACGAUCAAGAGCAGGGGAUUUUGAGGUCAGACAGGACUGGGAGCAAAUCUCAGCCCUGCAGCUUCCUGCUGUGGGACUGUAGAUAAAUGACUGGGUUUCUCUGGGCCUGCAAAGCUCUCAAUAAACAGGAGCAGCCAGCAGCAGGACUGGAGUCCACAGGUGAUCUGUCUCUGACCUCAGGUGUCCACAACCAUCCUCUCAGAAGACAGGCAAGCAAGGCAGCUCUCCUGCCCCUCAGCACUGGCCACGCUGGGACACAGUGGGACACCAGGACUUUAAGCCAUCCUUUAGGCCAAAGAAUCCCCACAUAACAAAUUCAUUGUGUGCAAUAAAGAACUUGGCUGCACCCCUAUCGGGGCGUUUGAGAUCCAAAUUGCUGCCUUGGCACUUUGGAGACACAGAAAGGAGAAAUGAGCUCAGGGUCUCUGGGAAAAGCCCUUUAAACCUGCUUGAGAAAUCAGAUUUGUCUGGCUGCGGCUCAUCUGCCCUCCAGGUCUGGAAUAAGGGGAAGGGACUCUGGAGGGCUGUCUGACAGGCAUGGAAAGCAGUGGGCAAGGGAGGGCAAGGUUUAGGGAAAGAGGGUGAC